This 253-nucleotide ribosomal RNA is filed under the name uncultured bacterium. RNAcentral describes it as "partial 16S ribosomal RNA". It matches the Rfam family "Bacterial small subunit ribosomal RNA", at positions 524 to 776 of the family's 1533-position model. The record is from RNAcentral.
UACGUAUGGUGCAAGCGUUAUCCGGAUUUACUGGGUGUAAAGGGAGCGCAGGCGGUGCGGCAAGUCUGAUGUGAAAGCCCGGGGCUCAACCCCGGUACUGCAUUGGAAACUGCCCAUCUUGAGUGCCGGAGGGGUAAGCGGAAUUCCUAGUGUAGCGGUGAAAUGCGUAGAUAUUAGGAGGAACACCAGUGGCGAAGGUGGAUGACUGGACGGCAACUGACGGUGAGGCGCGAAAGCGUGGGGAGCAAACAGG